UUGUAUUGCACUUGGAGCAGGAACGAAACGGUGAGCUCUAACAUCGCUCGCUAAUGACGGUACCUGAAGAAGAAGCACCGGCUAACUACGUGCCAGCAGCCGCGGUAAUACGUAGGGUGCGAGCGUUAAUCGGAAUUACUGGGCGUAAAGCGUGCGCAGGCGGUUGUGUAAGACAGGUGUGAAAUCCCCGGGCUUAACCUGGGAACUGCGCUUGUGACUGCACGGCUAGAGUAUGGCAGAGGGGGGUGGAAUUCCACGUGUAGCAGUGAAAUGCGUAGAGAUGUGGAGGAACACCGAUGGCGAAGGCAGCCCCCUGGGCCAAUACUGACGCUCAUGCACGAAAGCGUGGGGAGCAAACAGGAUUAGAUACCCUGGUAGUCCACGCCCUAAACGAUGUCGACUAGGUGUUCGGUGAGGAGACUCAUUGAGUACCGCAGCUAACGCGUGAAGUCGACCGCCUGGGGAGUACGGUCGCAAGAUUAAAACUCAAAGGAAUUGACGG
This 502-nucleotide ribosomal RNA is filed under the name uncultured bacterium. RNAcentral's name for it is "bacterial SSU rRNA". It matches the Rfam family "Bacterial small subunit ribosomal RNA", at positions 423 to 916 of the family's 1533-position model. The record is from RNAcentral.